AGUCUAUUAGUCAAACGGUAAAGACGACCCGAUAUAAAGGGAAUAGUUAGCAGGUUCGACUCCUGCAUAGACUCCCA
RNAcentral lists this transfer RNA (77 nucleotides) under Caudoviricetes sp. RNAcentral's name for it is "tRNA-OTHER". It matches the Rfam family "tRNA". Rfam says of the family: Transfer RNA (tRNA) molecules are approximately 80 nucleotides in length. Their secondary structure includes four short double-helical elements and three loops (D, anti-codon, and T loops). The record is from RNAcentral. Lineage: Duplodnaviria; Heunggongvirae; Uroviricota; Caudoviricetes.